RNAcentral lists this ribosomal RNA (520 nucleotides) under uncultured Glomus. RNAcentral's name for it is "SSU rRNA". It matches the Rfam family "Eukaryotic small subunit ribosomal RNA", at positions 569 to 1091 of the family's 1831-position model. Lineage: Eukaryota; Fungi; Glomeromycota; Glomeromycetes; Glomerales; Glomeraceae. The record is from RNAcentral.
AGCAGCCGCGGUAAUUCCAGCUCCAAUAGCGUAUAUUAAAGUUGUUGCAGUUAAAAAGCUCGUAGUUGAAUUUCGGGGUUAGUAGGUUGGUCAUGCCUCUGGUAUGUACUGGUCUCACUGAUUCCUCCUUCCUUAUGAACCGUAAUGCCAUUAAUUUGGUGUUGCGAGGAAUUUGGACUGUUACUUUGAAAAAAUUAGAGUGUUUAAAGCAAGCUAACGCUUGAAUACAUUAGCAUGGAAUAAUGAAAUAGGACGUUCGAUCUUAUUUUGUUGGUUUCUAGGAUUGACGUAAUGAUUAAUAGGGAUAGUUGGGGGCAUUAGUAUUCAAUUGUCAGAGGUGAAAUUCUUGGAUUUAUUGAAGACUAACUACUGCGAAAGCAUUUGCCAAGGAUGUUUUCAUUAAUCAAGAACGAAAGUUAGGGGAUCGAAGACGAUCAGAUACCGUCGCAGUCUUAACCAUAAACUAUGCCGACUAGGGAUCGGAUGAUGUUAAUUUUUAAUGACUCAUUCGGCGCCUUAA